GGCAUUCUCGUUUGUUUAAUAAUAUUCUUAUUUUGUUAGUCUCGUUCGUUGUGCACUCUGAUAUUCAACUUAAUUUACCUAUUGUUUAAUCAAAUAAAAAAAUAACGAUCUAUUGUUUCAUUUUAAUGGUGAUAAUUUGUCUUGGUUUAGUUUUUACGAAAUAAUUUAGGCACUGUUUAACUUGACCAAAAUAAUGUAACUACUAUUUUAAUUUACCUACAAAAUAAAUGCUAUUUGAUUCAAAAUUAAUUUACUUAUAUUUAACAUAUAAAUAUAGAUUAAUUAUUUUUAACAUGCAUAUAUAAUAACAAAUAAAAAAUGUCUAAUCUAUGUAAAAUAAUUUACCUACAACAUAAAGAACAUUAAUUGGUUUGUUUUU
RNAcentral lists this long non-coding RNA (379 nucleotides) under Malus domestica (apple). RNAcentral describes it as "long non-coding RNA (MDOM_LNC016192)". The record is from RNAcentral. Lineage: Eukaryota; Viridiplantae; Streptophyta; Magnoliopsida; Rosales; Rosaceae.